UACGUAGGGUGCAAGCGUUAAUCGGAAUUACUGGGCGUAAAGCGUGCGCAGGCGGUAAUGUAAGUCAGGUGUGAAAUCCCCGGGCUUAACCUGGGAACUGCAUUUGUGACUGCAUUGCUGGAGUGCGGCAGAGGGGGAUGGAAUUCCGCGUGUAGCAGUGAAAUGCGUAGAUAUGCGGAGGAACACCGAUGGCGAAGGCAAUCCCCUGGGCCUGCACUGACGCUCAUGCACGAAAGCGUGGGGAGCAAACAGG
Molecule: ribosomal RNA, 253 nt
Filed under: uncultured bacterium
Lineage: Bacteria
Description: partial 16S ribosomal RNA
Rfam family: Bacterial small subunit ribosomal RNA
Source: RNAcentral